ACACUCCUACGGGAGGCAGCAGUGGGGAAUUUUGGACAAUGGGCGCAAGCCUGAUCCAGCCAUGCCGCGUGCGGGAAGAAGGCCUUCGGGUUGUAAACCGCUUUUGUCAGGGAAGAAAAGGUUCUGGCUAAUACCUGGGACUCAUGACGGUACCUGAAGAAUAAGCACCGGCUAACUACGUGCCAGCAGCCGCGGUAAUACGUAGGGUGCAAGCGUUAAUCGGAAUUACUGGGCGUAAAGCGUGCGCAGGCGGUUAUGCAAGACAGAGGUGAAAUCCCCGGGCUCAACCUGGGAACUGCCUUUGUGACUGCAUGGCUAGAGUACGGUAGAGGGGGAUGGAAUUCCGCGUGUAGCAGUGAAAUGCGUAGAUAUGCGGAGGAACACCGAUGGCGAAGGCAAUCCCCUGGACCUGUACUGACGCUCAUGCACGAAAGCGUGGGGAGCAAACAGGAUUAGAUACCCCUGUAGUCCCAUGAU
RNAcentral lists this ribosomal RNA (477 nucleotides) under uncultured organism. RNAcentral describes it as "partial 16S ribosomal RNA". It matches the Rfam family "Bacterial small subunit ribosomal RNA", at positions 333 to 801 of the family's 1533-position model. The record is from RNAcentral.